Oryctolagus cuniculus (rabbit) is the source of this 696-nucleotide non-coding RNA. The record is from RefSeq and is a predicted model, not a curated record. Lineage: Eukaryota; Metazoa; Chordata; Mammalia; Lagomorpha; Leporidae.
AGCACUACAGGCCGGAAGUCCAACCCCCGUGCUGGCUCCUGAGGGCUCUUCUGCACCGAAGCCUGGCAAGAACCCCUCCCAGGGGAGGGCCAUGCCUGGUGACUGCUGAAUUCCGCAACGCAGGGGGAAGAAGAGCUUCCCAGAGGCUGCAGCCGCCCGCGCUCUGGGCAUCCGUCAGUCAUCGCUCAUCUACCGAAUGCCCGCGUUUCUUCACAGCCGCCUGUGGGUGCUGACUCUGCGUGGGGCUGCACUGAGGGCACCAAGCUGCCUUUGGACUUUCCUUUCUCCCUGUGGGAGCGCCAGGGGUCCCACCAACCCCUCCCCAUAAUCUUCUCAAUUGUAAAAAUUCUAGCUCUCAGCGGGGCACCUGCUGUUUAAAGCAAGAUUGCAUCUCUGCUGUCUUUGUAGCUCAGGGGACCGUGGGAGCAAACUUUGAACAAGCAGGCAGAGGUAAACAUCCCAGUUCACCUUGCAGCAGGUGCCUUCUGCAUCUGUGUCUCUGGCUGGAAUGCAGCUAUGAUGGUGGGAGCUCAAGCAGCUCUCUUGGAGUGUGAGUUUCUAGUCAACUGUAGGGGAAGGCAGAGCAAGAAGCUGAGGGGAACAGUCCCGGCAUUUGUGCAGCCGCCAGACCUGCACUUAGGCGCUUGUCCCUGAAUCACCUGUCUGAGAUAAAAAUAAACUCCCGUCUAGCUCGGC